RNAcentral lists this ribosomal RNA (345 nucleotides) under uncultured Symbiodinium. Its description in RNAcentral is "partial Bacterial small subunit ribosomal RNA". It matches the Rfam family "Bacterial small subunit ribosomal RNA", at positions 463 to 807 of the family's 1533-position model. Lineage: Eukaryota; Dinophyceae; Suessiales; Symbiodiniaceae. The record is from RNAcentral.
AAGAUAAUGACGGUACCCGCAGAAGAAGCCCCGGCUAACUCCGUGCCAGCAGCCGCGGUAAUACGGAGGGUGCAAGCGUUGUCCGGAUUUAUUGGGUUUAAAGGGUGCGUAGGUGGCCCAUUAAGUCAGUGGUGAAAUGCUGCAGCUUAACUGUAGCACUGCCAUUGAUACUGGUGGGCUUGAGUAUUGUCGAGGCAGGCGGAAUUUAUGAUGUAGCGGUGAAAUGCAUAGAUAUCAUAAAGAACACCGAUAGCGAAGGCAGCUUGCUAGGCAGUAACUGACACUAAUGCACGAAAGCGUGGGUAGCGAACAGGAUUAGAUACCCUGGUAGUCCACGCCGUAAAC